RNAcentral lists this ribosomal RNA (494 nucleotides) under Onygenales sp. BGE-2017a. RNAcentral describes it as "eukaryotic LSU rRNA". It matches the Rfam family "Eukaryotic large subunit ribosomal RNA", at positions 138 to 645 of the family's 3401-position model. The record is from RNAcentral. Lineage: Eukaryota; Fungi; Ascomycota; Eurotiomycetes; Onygenales.
CCGAGUUGUAAUUUGUAGAGGAUGCUUCGGGCGUGGCCGCGGUCUAAGUCCCCUGGAACGGGGCGUCGCAGAGGGUGAGAAUCCCGUCUUCGGCCGGCCGGCUUCGCCCAUGUGAAGCUCCUUCGACGAGUCGAGUUGUUUGGGAAUGCAGCUCUAAAUGGGUGGUAAAUUUCAUCUAAAGCUAAAUACUGGUCGGAGACCGAUAGCGCACAAGUAGAGUGAUCGAAAGAUGAAAAGCACUUUGAAAAGAGAGUUAAACAGCAUGUGAAAUUGUUGAAAGGGAAGCGCUUGCGACCAGAGUCGGCCGCGGGGGUUCAGCGGGCAUUCGUUGCCCGUGCACUCCCCCGUGGCCGGGCCAGCGUCGGUUUCGACGGCCGGUCAAAGGCCCCCGGAAUGUGUCACCCUUCGGGGUGUCUUAUAGCCGGGGGUGCAAUGCGGCCAGUCGGGACCGAGGAACGCGCUUCGGCACGGACGCUGGCUUAAUGGUCGUAAGC